GGGUGUGGCUCAGUGGCAGAGUGCUUGCCUAGCAUGUGCAAGGCUCAGGGUUCAAUCCACAGCAACACA
Molecule: transfer RNA, 69 nt
Filed under: Marmota monax (woodchuck)
Lineage: Eukaryota; Metazoa; Chordata; Mammalia; Rodentia; Sciuridae
Description: tRNA.Ala
Source: RNAcentral